CUCAGAAGAAUUUAGAAAGACAAAUAUUAUAUUAUAUACAUAAAAUACUGUACAUCGUUAGACCAUUUGGAUAAUAUUAGGCAUUGGCUAAAUUGCAUAAUUUAUUAUGUAUUAGCACACAUAGAAUAAUUGAUCCAUGUUCUUUUAGUUUAUUUCUGCAAGACUAGAAAAUAUCCACAAUCCAUUCGAUGCAGGCCAUCUCCUGAAGUGUGAUGUCUAUAAUUAAAUCUUAGAGUUAAAGUUCAUGAUAUUGCAGUGAUGUUUUAAAAUUGAUUUAAGAAAAUAUAGAAAUGAAUAUAAGGAGUCCAAGCAACACAGAGACAACACCCAUUCGGAUACUGGUGGCAUCACUAGUCGUUGAGGCAGUCGUGAAUGAUGCUGCAGAUGUUGCCAGGGUUGUAGUUGUAGUUGGCGCUGCGGUUGUUGUUGGGGGUGGGGUUAAAGUUGCCGUUAAGAAUUUAGUUGUUAAUGGGGCAUUAGUAGUAGUUGCAGUUGUUGUUGAGGGAGAAGUUUUUGUCUGGGCAGCAGUUAUUGGGGAUGCAGCAGUUGUGGAUGGGGCUGAAGUCUUUGUCGGGGAUAAAGAUGUUGUCAAGACAGCAAUUGUUGGCGGGUUUGCAGUUGUUGUCAAGGCAUAAGUUGUAGUCGGGGCUGUAGUUGUUGUCGUGCCAGCAGUUGUAGGUGGUGCUGUAGUUGUUUUUGGGGUGGCAGUUGUCGUCUGGGAAGCAGUUGUAGUUGGUGCAGCAGUUGUUGUCGGGGCUGCAGUUGUAGUUGGUGCAGCAGUUGUUGUUGGGGCUGCUGCUGUAGUUGGUGCAGCAGUGGUUGUUGGGGCUGCAGUUCUUGUUGGGGCUGCAGUUGUAGUUGGUGCAGCAGUUGUUGUUGUUGGUGCUGCAGUUGUAGUUGGCGCUGCAGUUGUAGUUGGUGCAGCAGUUGUUGUGGGUGCUACAGUUGUUGUUGGGGCUGCUGUUGUAGUUGGUGCAGUAGUUGUUGUCGGGGCUACAGAUGUAGUUGGUGCAGCAGUUGUUGUUGGUGCUGUAGUUGUAGUUGGUGCAGCAGUUGAAGUUGGCACUGCAGUUGUAGUUGGUGCAGCAGUUGAAGUUGGCGCUGCAGUUGUAGUUGGGUCUGCAGUUGUUUUCUGGCUUGCAGUUGUAGUUGGUGGAGGAGUUGUUUGGGAUGCAGUUGUUGUCGGUGCCACAGAUGUAGUUGGGGCCGCAGUGGUUGUUGGGGCUCCAAUUGUUGUUGUUGGGGCUGUAGUUGUAGUUGGUGCAGCAAUCGUUAUCGGAGCUGCAGUUGUAGUUAUGGGUGCUGUUGUAGUUGGUGCUGCAGUUGUUGUUUGUGCUGCAGUUGUUGUCGGGGCUGCUGUUGUAGUUGAUGCAGCAGUGGUUGUUAGGGCUUCAGUUGUUGUCGGUCCAGCUGUUGUUGGGACUGCGGUUGUAGUUGGUGCUGUAGUUGUAGUUGGCGCUGCAGUUGUAGUUGGUGCAGCAGUUGUUGGUAUUGCAGUUGUUGUUUGGGCUGUAGUUUUAGUUGGCACUGCACUUGUAGUUGAUGCAUCAGUUGUUGGUGCUGCAGUUGUCGGGGCUACAGAUGUUGUUGGUGCAGCAGUUGUUGGUGCUGCAAUUGUUGUUGGAACUGCAGUUGUAGUUGGUGCAGCAGUGGUAGUUUGGGCUGUAGUUGUAAUUGGCGCUGCUGUUGUAGUUGGUGCAGUAGUUGUUGUCGGGGCUACAGAUGUAGUUAGUGCAGCAGUGGUUGUUGGUGCUGUAGUUGUAGUUGGUGCAGCAGUUGAAGUUGGGGCUGUAGUUGUAGUUGGCACUACAGUUGUUGUUGGUGCUGCAGUUGUUGUUUGGGCCAUAGUUUUAGUUGGAGCUGCAGUUGUAUAUGGUGCUGCAGUUGUUAUUUGUGCUGCAGUUGUUGUCUGGGCCACAGAUGUAGUUGGUGCAGCAGUUGUUGUUGGUGCUUUAGUUGUUGUUGGGACUGCAGUUGUAGUUGGUGCAGCAGUUAAUAUCGGAGCUGCAGUUGUAGUUAUGGCUGCUUUUGUAGUUGGUGCUGCGGUUGUUGUUUGUGCUGCAGUUGUUGUCGGGGCUGCUGUUGUAGUUGGUGCAGCAGUGGUUGUAUGGGCUGCAGUUGUUGUCGGUCCAGCUGUUGUUGGGGCUGCAGUUGUAGUUGGUGCAGGGGUUGUUGUCGGCGCUGCCGUUGUAGUAGUUGCAGCUGCAGUAGUUUUUGCAGCAGAUGUUGUAGUUGGUGCAGCAGUUGUUGUUGGGGCUGCUGUUGUAGUCGUUGCAGCAGUUGUUGUUAGGGCUGCAGUUGUAGUUGGUGCAGCAGUUGUUGUUGGGGCUGCAGUUGUAGUUGGUGCAGCAGUUGUUGUUGGGGCUGCUGUUGUAGUUGGUGCAGCAGUUGUUGUUGGGGCUGCAGUUGUAGUUGGUGCAGCAGUUGUUGUUGGGGCUGCAGUUGUAGUUGGUGCAGCAGUUGUUGUUGGGGCUGCUGUUGUAGUUGGUGCAGCAGUUGUUGUUGGGGCUGCUGUUGUAGUUGGUGCAGCCGUUGUUGUUGGGGCUGCUGUUGUAGUUGGUGCAGCAAUUGUAGUUGGGGCUGCUGUUGUUGUUGGGACUGCAGUUGUAUUUGGUGCAGGGGUUGUUUUCGGCGCUGCAGUUGUAGUCGUUGCAGCAGUUGUUAGGGCUGCAGUUGUAGUUGGUGCAGCAGUUGUUAGGGCUGCUGUUGUAGUUGGUGCAGCAGUUGUUGUUGGGGCUGCUGUUGUAGUUGGUGCAGCAGUUGUUGUUGGGGCUGCUGUUGUAGUU
Gasterosteus aculeatus aculeatus (three-spined stickleback) is the source of this 2786-nucleotide long non-coding RNA. The record is from Ensembl. NCBI's taxonomy places the organism in Eukaryota, Metazoa, Chordata, Actinopteri, Perciformes, Gasterosteidae.